GACGAACGCUGGCGGCGUGCUUAACACAUGCAAGUCGAACGGAAAGGCCCUGCUUUUGUGAGGUGCUCGAGUGGCGAACGGGUGAGUAACAUGUGAGUAACCUGCCCUUGACUUUGGGAUAACUUCAGGAAACUGGGGCUAAUACCGGAUAGGAGCUCCUGCUGCAUGGUGGGGGUUGGAAAGUUUCGGCGGUUGGGGAUGGACUCGCGGCUUAUCAGCUUGUUGGUGGGGUAGUGGCUUACCAAGGCUUUGACGGGUAGCCGGCCUGAGAGGGUGACCGGCCACAUUGGGACUGAGAUACGGCCCAGACUCCUACGGGAGGCAGCAGUGGGGAAUAUUGCACAAUGGGCGGAAGCCUGAUGCAGCAACGCCGCGUGCGGGAUGACGGCCUUCGGGUUGUAAACCGCUUUCGCCUGUGACGAAGCGUGAGUGACGGUAAUGGGUAAAGAAGCACCGGCUAACUACGUG
This 468-nucleotide ribosomal RNA is filed under the name uncultured bacterium. RNAcentral describes it as "partial 16S ribosomal RNA". It matches the Rfam family "Bacterial small subunit ribosomal RNA", at positions 28 to 507 of the family's 1533-position model. The record is from RNAcentral.